CCUACGGGUGGCAGCAGUGGGGAAUAUUGCGCAAUGGGCGAAAGCCUGACGCAGCGACGCCGCGUGAGGGAUGAAGGCCCUCGGAUCGUUAACCUCCGUUAGCAGGGAAGAACGGCCACUGUGCUAAUCAGCAGUGAAUUUACGGUACCUGUAAAGGAAGCCUCGGCUAACUCCGUGCCAGCAGCUGCGGUAAUACGGAGGGUGCGAGCGUUAAUCGGAAUUACUGGGCGUAAAGCGCUCGUAGGCGGUAUGUCAAGUGAAGGGUGAAAUCCCCGCGCUCAACGUGGGAACUGCCUUUGAGACUGGCGGACUAGAGUGUGUGAGAGGAUAGUGGAAUUCCAGGUGUAGGAGUGAAAUGCGUAGAGAUC
Molecule: ribosomal RNA, 368 nt
Filed under: uncultured bacterium
Lineage: Bacteria
Description: partial 16S ribosomal RNA
Rfam family: Bacterial small subunit ribosomal RNA
Source: RNAcentral